RNAcentral lists this long non-coding RNA (923 nucleotides) under Citrus sinensis (sweet orange). RNAcentral's name for it is "long non-coding RNA (CSIN_LNC004114)". Lineage: Eukaryota; Viridiplantae; Streptophyta; Magnoliopsida; Sapindales; Rutaceae. The record is from RNAcentral.
UAUUUUACUCAUUUUUUCAUUAAUUUACUAGUUUUAUGUGUGAUUUACAAAUUUAUUGUUUCAUUUCACACUUAAUGUCAAUUUACAAGUUCUAUGUCAUUUUUCUAAAUUUUUAUUUUGUUUACAAGUUCUUCUUAAAAUUUACAACUCCAACAUUAAUUUACUCAUUUUUCCAUCAAUUUACUAGUUUUAUGUGUGAUUUACACAUUUAUUGUUUCAUUUCACACUUAAUGUCAAUUUACAAGUUCUAUGUCAUUUUUCUAAGUUUUUGUUUUGUAUACACGUUCUUCUUGCAAUUUACAACUACAACAUUAAUUUACCAAUUUUUCCAUCAAUUUACUAGUUUUAGGUGUCAUUUACAUAUUUUUUGUUUCAUUUCACACUUAAUGUCAAUUUACAAGUUCUAUGUCAUUUUUCUAAGUUUUUGUUUUGUAUACACGUUCUUCUUGCAAUUUACAACUACAACAUUAAUUUACCAAUUUUUCCAUCAAUUUACUAGUUUUAGGUGUGAUUUACAUGUUUUUUUGUUUCAUUUCACAAUUAAUGUCAAUUUACUAGUUGUAUGUCAUUUUUCUAAGUUUUUGUUUUGUUUACAAUUUCUUCUUAUAAUUUACAACUCCAACAUUAAUUUACUAGUUUUUUUUCUAUUUUUUAUUUUUUUUUAAAUUUUGUAGACCAAUUUACCACUCUAACGUUGAUUAUUGGCAUUUUAUGAUUUAGAUAGAAUGAUAUAAGGGUGGGCAUGAGUUGGGUUUGAUAGGGUUAGUGAAAUUCUAACCUGAUCUACUUUUUAAUGAGUUGAGAUAAAAUCCAUCCAACUUAACUAAAUAAACUUGAGAUAAAAUCUACUUUCUCAUCAUCUCUUUCUUCUUCCCUCUAUUAUCAAUGGAUUGUAGAAGCUCAAAUGAAGCAAGUAGCAGCAG